Molecule: transfer RNA, 75 nt
Filed under: Clostridioides difficile
Lineage: Bacteria; Bacillati; Bacillota; Clostridia; Peptostreptococcales; Peptostreptococcaceae
Description: tRNA-Phe(gaa)
Rfam family: tRNA
About the family: Transfer RNA (tRNA) molecules are approximately 80 nucleotides in length. Their secondary structure includes four short double-helical elements and three loops (D, anti-codon, and T loops). Further hydrogen bonds mediate the characteristic L-shaped molecular structure. tRNAs have two regions of fundamental functional importance: the anti-codon, which is responsible for specific mRNA codon recognition, and the 3' end, to which the tRNAs corresponding amino acid is attached (by aminoacyl-tRNA synthetases). tRNAs cope with the degeneracy of the genetic code in two manners: having more than one tRNA (with a specific anti-codon) for a particular amino acid; and 'wobble' base-pairing, i.e. permitting non-standard base-pairing at the 3rd anti-codon position.
Source: RNAcentral
UGCCCAGAUAGCUCAGUCGGUAGAGCAGGGGACUGAAAAUCCCCGUGUCGGUGGUUCGAUUCCGCCUCUGGGCAN